RNAcentral lists this ribosomal RNA (111 nucleotides) under Bifidobacterium breve. The record is from RNAcentral. Lineage: Bacteria; Bacillati; Actinomycetota; Actinomycetes; Bifidobacteriales; Bifidobacteriaceae.
GGCCAUGGCCCAGGUGAGACGCCCGGUCCCAUUCCGAACCCGGAAGCUAAGGCCUGGCACGGCGAUGGUACUGCACCCGACAGGGUGUGGGAGAGUAGCACGCCGCCGCAU